GGAAGGAUCAUUGAGUCACAUCGACCCACACAAGAGAAUCAAUGAGUGCUGCUUUUGAGGGGACCUUCUAUCCGGACGGUCCGGCACCUUGGGCAGUCGUCACCUAAAAACCCCAAACUCUAAACCAAACUAAUAUCGUGACGUGCAGCCUGGCUGCGCGUUCAAACAAUACAACUCUCAACAACGGAUAUCUUGGCUCUCGUAACGAUGAAGAACGCAGCGAAAUGCGAUACGUAGUGUGAAUUGCAGAAUUCCGUGAAUCAUCGAGUCUUUGAACGCAUAUUGCGCCCGCAGCCUCGGCUCAGGGCAUGUCUGCCUCAGCGUCGUUUGUUUCACACUCCACAACCCAGGUCUCUGUAUCAGGAUUUGGCUAUUCCAGCGGACGCCUCCCGUGUCGGACAGCUUGAUCCGCAGAACCAUGUGGUUGUAUGUGCAAGGCUAGCAUCUUGUGUACUGGAGUGGAUCUGGCUUUUCCCAAUGAGAAAUCAUGGGUCAGCUUAAAAUGAGACGCGAGCACACUGGACGUUUUGUCCUCAACUGGGCAGGUAGAUAAGUGGGGAAAUCGCCCGGAAAGCGAUGUUAUCUGCGUUGCACCAAGUUGUUGAAAGUGUGUUGGCCAUGCAGGAUACUACAUUACUCAAUCGACCUGAGCUCAGGCAAGACUACCCGCUGAACUUAAGCAUAUCAAUAAGCGGAGGAAAAGAAACUAACAAGGAUUCCCCUAGUAACGGCGAGCGAACCGGGAAUAGCCCAACUGUUAAUCUCCCAUCGGAGAAUUGUAGUCUGUAGAAGCGUCCUCUAUAGCACGCGGAGCCCAAGUCCCCUGGAAAGGGGCGUCGAAGAGGGUGACAACCCCGUCGGUUUCCGUCGUUGCUGUUUCACGAGGUGCUUUCGAAGAGUCGGGUUGCUUGGGAAUGCAGCCCAAAGUGGGUGGUAAAUCCCAUCUAAGGCUAAAUACUGGCGAGAGACCGAUAGCGAACAAGUACCGUGAGGGAAAGAUGAAAAGAACUUUGAAAAGAGAGUUAAAAAGUGCUUGAAAUUGUUGAGAGGGAAGCGUUUGGAAGAUGUGGGUGCGCUCAGGCUUAUGCGUUUUUUCACGAGGCGCCGUAUGUGCUGAGUGCUGGUCAACAUGGGUUGAGCUGGUGGGAUAACAUCAGGGAUUGUUACCCUGUCUAUACCAUUGCCUCGACCAAGGCGUGAAGGCUGCCGUUCGACACUCUGAUCUGCGGCCUCAAGAUGUUGGCAAAAGUCUUCCAACCGGCCCGUCUUGAAACACGGACCAAGGAGUCUAACAUGUAUGCGAGUUGGUGGGUUGCAAACCCAUGAAGCGCAAGGAAACUAACUGGUGGGAUGGCCUGUGCCUGCACCAUCUACCGACCAUGAGCUUUUGCGAAAGGUUUGAGUGCGAGCAUACCUGUUGGGACCCGAAAGAUGGUGAACUAUGCCUGAGCAGGGCGAAGUCAGAGGAAACUCUGAUGGAGGCUCGUAGAUGUGCUGACGUGCAAAUCGCUUUUCGGACUUGGGUAUAGGGGCGAAAGACUAAUCGAACCAUCUAGUAGCUGGUUCCCUC
RNAcentral lists this unclassified non-coding RNA (1570 nucleotides) under uncultured Sphaeropleales. RNAcentral describes it as "sequence contains 18S rRNA gene, ITS1, 5.8S rRNA gene, ITS2, 28S rRNA gene". The stretch from base 643 to 1570 matches the Rfam family "Eukaryotic large subunit ribosomal RNA", at positions 1 to 961 of the family's 3401-position model. Lineage: Eukaryota; Viridiplantae; Chlorophyta; Chlorophyceae; Sphaeropleales. The record is from RNAcentral.